Molecule: ribosomal RNA, 507 nt
Filed under: uncultured bacterium
Lineage: Bacteria
Description: bacterial SSU rRNA
Rfam family: Bacterial small subunit ribosomal RNA
Source: RNAcentral
GGCUCAGAACGAACGCUGGCGGCGCGUUUAAGCAUGCAAGUCGAGCGGCAAGGGCCUUCGGGCCCCUAGAGCGGCGGACGGGUGAGUAACACGUGGACAAUCUGCCCCCCGGCCCGGGAUAGCCCAGGGAAACCUGGAUUAAUACCGGAUGAGACGGGACCCGCGAUGGCGGGACCCGGGAAAGGCGCUGCGGCGCCGCCGGGGGAUGAGUCUGCGUCCCAUUAGCUAGACGGCGGGGUAACGGCCCACCGUGGCGACGAUGGGUAGCCGGCCUGAGAGGGUGGACGGCCACAUUGGAACUGAGACACGGUCCAGACUCCUACGGGAGGCAGCAGCUAAGAAUCUUCCGCAAUGGGCGAAAGCCUGACGGAGCCGACGCCGCGUGAACGAAGAAGGCCGUGAGGUUGUAAAGUUCUUUUCGGGAGGGGGAACAACCGUGGCAGGGAAUGGCCGCGGGAUGACGUGAAUCCCGGAAUAAGCCCCGGCUAACUACGUGCCAGCCGCAGC